AUACGGAGGGCGCAAGCGUUAAUCGGAAUUACUGGGCGUAAAGCGCGCGUAGGCGGUUUGGUAAGUCGGAUGUGAAAGCCCCGGGCUCAACCUGGGAAUUGCAUUCGAUACUGCCAGACUAGAGUAUGGUAGAGGGAAGCGGAAUUCCGGGUGUAGCGGUGAAAUGCGUAGAUAUCCGGAGGAACACCAGUGGCGAAGGCGACUUCCUGGACCAAUACUGACGCUGAGGUGUGAAAGUGUGGGGAGCAAACAGGAUUAGAAACCCUAGUAGUCC
RNAcentral lists this ribosomal RNA (274 nucleotides) under uncultured bacterium. RNAcentral describes it as "partial 16S ribosomal RNA". It matches the Rfam family "Bacterial small subunit ribosomal RNA", at positions 523 to 796 of the family's 1533-position model. The record is from RNAcentral.